Molecule: long non-coding RNA, 2037 nt
Organism: Bombus terrestris (buff-tailed bumblebee)
Lineage: Eukaryota; Metazoa; Arthropoda; Insecta; Hymenoptera; Apidae
Exons: 3
Source: RefSeq, a predicted model, not a curated record
GUCAGGCGUUCGUCCAGAGACACGAACCCGUAGCACGAGCCGCUCGUGUUUUCGGCUUUCCGGGACGCUGCACGGACCUGCGCGUCUCCAUCUAGGCGUCGGCUGGGGGUUCGAACCGACGAACCCUUGGCUUGAUAACAGUGCCACGCCAUCCGUCGCUGGCAACGUAUAAAUUGCAUGUGCCAGGCGUCAAGCGUUCAUCAGCUAGCUACCUCGUUGAUUCGAUUGUUUUUCACAUGUUUCUUCGUUGGAGGACGACCGUUUCUUUGUCGAGUUCGAGCUUAGGUGAUUUCUGUUCGGGUUAACGAGGUGUCUGCGAGUUGUGGGAGUUGAGUAUGGCAACUGACCCUUCGGUAUAUCACGCGCGAUUUUUGGCUCCAGUUUCUUUAUAUGUUGGCGACAAUCGAACGGGAAAUAGGAACGGGGUGUGGAAACCGAGUUAAAAAAAGAAAGAAAGAAAAAAAGGAGAGAGAAGAGGAAAGAAAAAAGAAAAACAUGAAUAUGAAUGAUUAUAUACCUGGUGUGUGCCGGUUGAAGUUAUUAAUAUUCCAUUCAAACCGUGGUUUCUAUUCAGGACACUCUCUGGAAAUUCAAAUGAAUCGAGUGAAUUCUGAUCCGCGGCCAGAUUGCAGUUGGAAAGUGGACGACCAUUACCGUCCAUUCUAUAAAUUUGGAUCGUCCUUUAUGGUGGCUCGUUAAAACUAACGUAGUUACCGGCCGAUCUCUGGGAUUAAAUCGGUCAAACAAGCUGGCCAGAUGACUCGGAAAACGGCUCGGAAAACAAACGGAAGUGCUGAGCAACCUGCUAGCGACGAUAACAGGGUAACUUCGAAUUGAUAUUUGCAAUACGAUGUAAAAUUGUGUGUUCCAUCCAGGAAGAUCCGACAAAUAUUUUAUUUCCGUUGCAACAUACAAGUAUCUGUUAAAUCAUGGAUACAGCGUUACUAAUUGGUAAAAUAACAUACACGGUAUGAUUAAAAACAUAGUGGAAUCUUUAUACCGCUUCUAACAGUUACUAAAACUAAUAGUAAUUACAAUUAUCAACAUGUGUCUACAACAUAAAUUGUCUACCGUCAUACACAUACACGUAUCAACAUUUCCAUUUACGAUCCAGUAUAAGCAAUAUUUUUUCUUACGUUCUACUUACGAUCAAUUUUUCUCAAGUACUCUUUCAACGAUAAUCAUAAAGGAUAUCAAAAUAACAUCAGAAUGAAUACAGGAAUAAAUAAAUUUACUAGUUUAACAGUAUUGAUAAACGAACGUAAUAGACAACGAUAGAAGACGCACAAAGAUAUCUUUUGAAAUAUUAAAACAUUUAUCGAUGACCUGUUAUCUUUUCCUUACAACGCCACUUAUAUCUUUUCUGUUUAAUUUCUCGAAUUUGAUUCGUCGAAUCUAUCGGAUUAAUUUAUCGAAUUGAAUUCGUCGAUAACUUAAGAAAAAAAUAUUGAAAUAUUAAAAUGUUUAUCGAUAAUCCAUUAUCCUUUCGUUACAACGUCGCUUAUAUCUUGGAACAUCAUCGACCUUCGUUACUGAUAACAAAGCAACUUCUUCGUCGAGUUGCAUCACUGACUCUCUGCUCAUCAAUAACGCCUUAAUUGCCUCGAACAAGUUGCGCCGUGAAAAUAACAUUAAUUGCGGACUCGCAUCGGGUCACUCGGACGCUCUUGCACCGUCAGCUUUAAUCGGCAGACGGAUGAGGCCGUUCUAUUGGCGCAAACAAUGCAGGAGGAGUAUUUAUUGCGGCGGCUAAUACCGGUUUAUUGGGAUGUAAAAUGAGGCGAGUCCGUGCUGACAUGCUUGGUUUCCUCCUGUUCGAGCUCACCGGCGUCCGACGCAUAAUGGAACGCGCUUUGGCGUCCGUUAUGAAUAAAGGAACAACCAUCGUCGAUCGUUAACCGCGUAUUACGUUUAAGAUUGCCGCUAACCAACUGCUCGCUUAAUCGUGCUUGAAGAAUCACGAGAUUCCCGCAUUGGUCAUUGACAUUUGUGUCUGUGCUUUCUGACGUAUGACAAUAUUCAACGUGUUUUCGAUGG